This 927-nucleotide long non-coding RNA is filed under the name Rosa chinensis. RNAcentral's name for it is "sRNA RchiOBHm_Chr7g0226401". The record is from RNAcentral. Lineage: Eukaryota; Viridiplantae; Streptophyta; Magnoliopsida; Rosales; Rosaceae.
UCCUCAAUUUAAAAUAGAAGUGGUGUGAGAAAAAGCCUCCCAAACACCAAGUAAGAUAUGCUUUUAUAAGCUGGAACUAAAUGGGGAGAGUGUGUACAUUUUUCUUCCUGUUGCAUAGUUAGAUUCUAUAGUGAGUAGUGACACCAUGUUUUUAUCCGAAUUGGCGAAUUAUGCCUUCUGACCUUCUGUAAACCAUUGUAUACGACAUGGCAAUCUUGUAUCUCCUUUCAAGUGACAGUUGAAUAUAAACAAUACUUAAACUGUGGAGAAAGUGAUACCCAAAUCAUACCAUGCAAAAGUUUCUAGUAUUGAUCUUGUAGUUUAUUUUUUUAGCAGGUUAUCAUGCCCUCGAAAGUCGUCCUUUGGUUUUCUUCGUAGCAAUUUGUUGCUCAUCUCUAUGGCUUUAAAUGUCUUUUUAUUUGCUUCAGUAAUAUGGAGUUGUUGAAUACUGUUUUGUAAUUCCUGGUAUAUUGUUUCAUCUUGGUCUUCUACAUCAUUUCUCUGUAAAUCACAGCAUGUUAUUAGAGCAAUUGAAGUAAAAUCAGGAGCAUCUAAAUGAAGUGGCUCCUCAGAUAAUGGGAAAUAGAUUUCACCUGGUCUUAAAAGUGAAGGACUGUGAUGAUUCACCCAAAAUGCAGUUUGACUGAUAUAUAUGUUGUGAAGUUAAUCAAAGAGGAAUUGCUGAUAAGAGUCUAGAGUUGACUGAGGAUUUGACUUUCGGAAAUAGAUGUGGAAGCAGAGAGUAUGAGAUGUAGAGAAAUCAUUUUGAGGUCUAUCUGAGUGUGGUAGGUAUGAAUUUGGGUAGUGGCACGAGAAUGUGCAGAUUACAAGCUAGCUAAUGCAUUGAUCUGCAGGCCGGUGUUGACCAUGUUGUUGACUUUAUGGUAUAGAGGGACACUAUUGGUAGCAGAUUAUGUGUCAUUUUGA